GGUGGAGCAUGUGGUUUAAUUCGAUGCAACGCGAAGAACCUUACCUACUCUUGACAUCCACAGAACUUAGCAGAGAUGCUUCGGUGCCUUCGGGAACUGUGAGACAGGUGCUGCAUGGCUGUCGUCAGCUCGUGUUGUGAAAUGUUGGGUUAAGUCCCGCAACGAGCGCAACCCUUAUCCUUUGUUGCCAGCACGUAAUGGUGGGAACUCAAGGGAGACUGCCGGUGACAAACCGGAGGAAGGUGGGGAUGACGUCAAGUCAUCAUGGCCCUUACGAGUAGGGCUACACACGUGCUACAAUGGCAGAUACAAAGUGAAGCGAACUCGCGAGAGCAAGCGGACCACAUAAAGUCUGUCGUAGUCCGGAUUGGAGUCUGCAACUCGACUCCA
Molecule: ribosomal RNA, 390 nt
Filed under: Yersinia sp. AZTITEMP292
Lineage: Bacteria; Pseudomonadati; Pseudomonadota; Gammaproteobacteria; Enterobacterales; Yersiniaceae
Description: bacterial SSU rRNA
Rfam family: Bacterial small subunit ribosomal RNA
Source: RNAcentral